AUUUAUAUAGUUUAAAUAAAACCUUACAUUUUCACUGUAAAAAUAGAUUACUUCUUAUAAAUA
RNAcentral lists this transfer RNA (63 nucleotides) under Aplosonyx pictus. Its description in RNAcentral is "tRNA-Glu". The record is from RNAcentral. Lineage: Eukaryota; Metazoa; Arthropoda; Insecta; Coleoptera; Chrysomelidae.